RNAcentral lists this long non-coding RNA (6197 nucleotides) under Sus scrofa (pig). RNAcentral describes it as "lncRNA (ENSSSCG00050063537.1)". Lineage: Eukaryota; Metazoa; Chordata; Mammalia; Artiodactyla; Suidae. The record is from RNAcentral.
UUUUUUUUUAUUGGAGUUAGAUUUAUUUUUUAUUAAGGGAUCGUUGAUGUACAGAGUCGAGUCCAUUUCUGCUGUACAGCAUAGAGCACUUACAGGUUCUCAAAUUAAGGGAAAUCAGUCAAAGAGAAAGAUUAAAAAAAUCCCAUAGGUUAUUGCUUCUGUGUGGGAUCUAAAAUGCGGCACAAAUGAACCUGUCUACAGAACAGAAACAGACUCAGAGACACAGAGAACAGACUUGGGGUUGCCAAGGGGGAGGGGGAGGGAGGGGACGGACGGGGAGUUUGGGGUUCGUAGAUACAAACUAGGACAUGGACAAUGGAUAAGCCAUGAGGUCCUGCUGUCCAGCCCAGGGAACUCUAUCCGGUCUCCUGGGAUAGACCGUGAUGGAAGAGAAUACGAGAAAAAGAAUGUAUAUACAUGCGUGACUGGGUCACUCUGCUGUGCAGCAGAAACUGACAGAACACUGUAAAUCAACUAUACUUUAAUGUAAAAAAUAUAAAUUAGAAACUAUGGCACAGACGAACCUCUCUGCAAAACAGAAACAGACUCGCAGACACAGAGCACAGACGUGUGGUUGCCAAGGGGGAGGGGGAGGGAGGGGACGGACGGGGAGUUUGGGGCUCGUAGAUGCAAACCCUGACACUGAGAAUGGAUAAGCAGUGAGGUCUAUGAUUCCUUUUUAUCCACGUGUUGGUGUGGCUCUUCUCUUCUGCCGCCAACACGGGGUACGCCAAGCUUCCUACGGCAGCCACACUGUGUCAGGUUCACUCAGGAUCAAGCAGUCACCCCAGGGAAAGGCGGUCAGUAUCCAUCAGCCACACAGUUUGGCUGCUGGGGACAGUUCAUGGGCUGAGAGAUGGCAGUGCCCAUGUUGCCAAGCCCCCAAGAAUAUAAGGCGGGGCACGAAGGCGGGACACGGAUCUGGUGCAGCAAGAGAAGGCUGAGGAGGUGAACAUGAGCCUCGGGCCACUCUCGGGAAGACGUCAUGGCUCGUGAUGGCGAAGCCGCUGUCCUUGGCAGAGGCGCAUGACACAUCCAGCUCCAAGGCACCUGUCUAGCGGUUUUCUCCACAGACGUCUGUGCAAACCUCUCCAUGGGCAAGAAAAGUCACAGGAGAAGUGAGAAAAGCUCCUUCCCCCUCUGUGCAAAGGAAUAAUAAAAAUCUGUGCCCAGGGAACCCAAGGAGGAUCCAUACCAGAAAAGGGCGGCAUUGCCCACAGGGGAGCAGGCGCGACAGGUGUGGGAUUAGCUGAGUCCUUUAAAGGAACAAACAUAGCAUCGGAGCUCCUAUUCAUCACCUGAAGCUGCUAUCAGAACACUUCCAGGACUUCGUGUUGUGGCUCAGCGGGUAAAAGACCCGAAGGGUCUCCAUGAGGACGCAGGUUCGAUCCCUGGCCUCGCUCCAUGGGUUAAGGAUCUGGUGUGGCUGUGAGCUGUGGGGUAGGUCACAGACUGGGCUCGGAUCCCACGUUGCUGUGGCUGUGCCGUAGGCUGGCAGCUGCAGCUCCUGUGCAGCCCCUAGCCUGGAACCUUCCACAUGCUGCAGGUGUGGCCCUAAAAAGUAAAAUCUCAGGCUAAAUAAAACACGGGCAUGUUUCUCCAUAUCUUCUUCCAGUGUGAUUUCUGCCUCAUUUACUGCUCCCUCCUUCUCACCCAUCUGGGGGACAAGACUUGAGGGUUCUCCCAUCCUGUUCACCUUCUGGAGCUUUCGUCUCGUUUCUGUGAACGUCCGCCUCACUGUCUGGGGAGGCUCCACCCCCCGUCCCCCCAGGUCCUGAGAACCCUGGGCAUCUCAUGGGAGGACCUCACGGUGGCCGUGCAUUGCUUCUCCUCCCCGAGUGGGUAAAGCUUCAAGGCCCCCACCCCUGCGGGGAAUCCGGGCAUCUUCCAGGAGAACCCCCGCUCCAGGCCCAGGCGUCUUGGUCCUGGAAGGAGACAGGUGCGUGAGCAGAGGCAGGCGGCCACCCCGCACGGGCGCGUGGGUGCUGACGUGCUGGGACGUGAUGCCCUGCUCCUGCCGCCCAUGGAGGCUCUGGCGUCCCCAGCUCUCCGCCCUGACCUCCUUCUCUGCCUCCGUCCCCAAGCAGGAUCUCUGUGGGGUGACGAUGGACAGAGCCAUGCGGGUGGACGCGCCCCCUCCUUCCUCUCUGGCAACCCAACAUUUCUCUGCCUGGCCUUCCCUCACAGCCGCACCCCCGCCAUUCCCUGACGCCUCCACACCUGGGUGCUUGGGGACAAGGCGUUAAAUGCCAGGCGGAUCCUAUAGAGAAAGUGAUGGUGUCGCCUCCUUACAGGGUCUGCCCACACCUGGACCAGGAAGCCCAGGAUUUAUGAGUUCAUGACGCGUGGCUUUAUGACCAGCAGCCCGUCCACUGCGCUGGGGGCCGGGAAGCUGUGGUUGGGCGGGGGUGAGUUCUGGGCGCAGCUGUCCCCUCAAAGGCACUAGACACGUUACACCGGUUCCCCCGCCUCCUCGGCCUCCAUCCAUCUGAGCCAGACGGGGUCCAUGUCUGCAGGAGACACCGGUCCUGCCUGAGCAUCCUGCCGACUCGCCACCAGCCUGGCAACGUGGAGCUGCUGAGCACCGAUUCGGGACAUGGUCCUGCCACGCAAGACCAACCAUGAAGCGGGCACAGGUGUGCGUCACAGCCCUGCUUGCCUACAACUCCCGGAAAAGGGGUGUUCCUAGAAAGCAGACCCGCUUCUCCAUCGAAGCACAGAUCCAGAUCCACCUGCUGCAGGAAAACAUGAUUUUCCCACAACUUGGGGCACCGUCUUCCCCACUCCGUCCCCCAGCCCGGCAUCUCCUUGAAAGUAGAAAGAAUCAGAGUUCCUGUCAUGGCUCCGUGGGUUAAGAACCCAACAUAGUGUCUGUCAGGAUGUGGGUUCGAUCCCUGGCCUCGCUCAAUGGGUUAAGGAUCCAGCAUGGCCAUGAGCUGUGCUGUAGGUCACAGAUACGGCUUGGAUCUGGUAUCGCUAUGGCUGUGGUGUAGACCAGAAGCUGCAGUUCGGGUUCAAAACCUAGCCUGGGAACUUCCAUAUUCUGUGGGUAGGACCGUAAAAAGAAAAGAAAAGAAAAAGAAAAAAUAAUCAACUAUACUUCAAUAAAAUUUUCAAAAAAAAAAAAAGGGAAAAAAAGGGGGAAUCGCCUAAGUGUCUUUUGACAGGAGACAAGUGCUAUUAUAAUGCACUUUCUAGUUUCUGUGUUUCUGAUGCUUUGACCUCAUGGGGUCUUGCUGACUUCCUAGGGGUGGCCCCGUUCCUAGAGAGAGCCAAGGACUCACCUUUCAAAUGCCCACUGACCCAGGCAGAGCCCCUCAUCUCCUCUGUGGGGCUCCCCUAGUCUGGGCCACCGUGCACCUUCCCUCGUCCCCCUGCCCCAGGGCCAGGUGCCAGCAACUAGAACAGCCCUGCACCUCAGGACCGGCUGGAUAUGUCACACCAGCCCCCUGUAAGCCUGUUCCCCUGCCUCACCUGUUCCCUCCUGCAGAAACUGCAGUACAGGUGCUUGUCUUGUUCCCCUUCCACCUGCCUCCUGACCCACCCCGGAGCUGCCCCGUGUAACCCUGCAUGGCGUGGCAUGUCCCCUCCUCUUAGAAAUGGUGAGUCACCAGCUGUCUCUUUUUUCUCCUGUUCUUGUAGAGGUAAAACCAAUGAAUAAAAAUUGCAUCGCUUUCACAGGAAUACUACUCAGCCAUAAAAAAGAACGAAAUCAUGCCAUGUGCAGCCACAGGGAUGCAACGAGAAAUUCUCAACUUCAGCGAAGUGAGUGAAGAAAGAGAAAGACAAAUACCAUAUGAGACCACUUUUAUGUGGAGUGUGGAGUCUAAAAUGUGGCACAGAUGAUUCUACCUACAGAACAGAAACAGACUCACAGACGUGGAGGACAGCUGUGUGGUUGCCAAGGGGGAGGGGGCGGGAUGGACGGGGAGUCUGGGGUUCGUAGACUCAAACCAUGACACUGAGAAUGGGUAAGCUGUGGGGUCCUACUGUCCAGCGCAGGGAACUCUAGCCAGUCUCCUGGGAUAGACCAGGAUGGAAGAGUCUAUAAGAAAGGGAAUGUAUACAUAUGCAUGACUGGGUCACUGUACUGUGCCACAGAAAUGGGCACAACCCUGUAAAUCAACUAUAUUUUAAUUUAAACAAUGGUGAGGCUUGGGCUGGCAUAUGCCCACUGAGGAAUAUGGAAUAGCCAGUUCGCAGGGACCUGCUGUCUGGCACAGGGAGCACGACCCGUCUUCUGGGCUAACCCAGACGAGGCUGGGUGCGUGUUUCUGUGUGCAUACCUGAAUCAUCUGCAUUGACACCACAGGACACCUCUGCUAUAUGUCCAUCUAAAACCCAUGGUUAAGACGGCAAAUCCUACGCUAGGUUAGUUUACCGCCGUGGAACCAGUAAUAAUAAAAAGUACGCCACGUAACCGCCAUCCGCAGGUUAUACGUCAGAAGAAGGUACUCUCACCUGGAGUAAUAGCUGCUUCCAUCUCAGGCCUGGGAUUGCUUCUUGCGUCUCUGGGUAUCUCGCGAAGCCAGAGCCUCGGCACACACAGGGUGGCGCGUGCAUCCAAAGCAUCUUGUGGAAACGCACGGGAGGGGCUGUCCUUGGCACCCUAGUGCAGGACCGCCUUCCAAGCACGUGCAGGAGGGACUGCAUCCUCGAAGCUGCUGGCAGGGUGGUUCUGAGGACACGGGACAUCGGUCUGUUGAGUUUUCCGGUGCGUAGGCGGAGUCUGUGUGGGAGGACUGUCAGAGCUGCCCUCAUUUCAUCACACUAAGCAGCCGUGCACCAAAGGACCAUGGCAUCUCAGUGACGUGCCGGGCAUGGUAUGCCUGUGGCCGCCCACAGCAGCGCAACAGGGCGGGUACCACCAGCUCCGUUUUAGGAGCAGCAGGUUUGUGCCUCAACAUCUGUGUCCAACGGAUCCACUGAGCUGCGUCCCCGGGCUCUGGAGAGAAUGAAAUCCACAACCGAGUCUCAACCAGGAACCAGAGGUCCCUUUUCCUCGAGCACUUUGCUCGAGGUGCCUCUGUGCCCUCGGAGCUGCCUGGUGGCUUUAGGCAGUGAGCUCUGGACGCACCCAUUCAGGGGAGAGGGGAUGGUGACACAGAACUCAGGCAGCAGAAGCCCCAGGAAGCAGAUCGAGCAGCCCGAAAUCAAAAUCAGAUGCACGGCUGAUUUCUGGCGGCUUUCUGCUCUUCCAGCCCCUGCCUGGACUGAACAGGGUGAACGGCAGUGCCCCCCACGAUGGGGGCUCUGCACGCAGAACAGGAUGAAACAGUUCUACUCCCAGCGCUCCAGCUCACAGACACUGCAGCCCUUUCCUCCUGGGGUCCUUUCCCGGCUUAUCCUCCGGCACGGUGGAAAUCUGAGCAAGCCGCCCGCCGCUUCGAGUCUGCAUCUGCCGGCUCCAGUGGUGGCUGUGACGAUGGCAAUAAAUGACAGUGCAGAUGGUGAAGGCAGACGAGAGAUGUGGAGGCUCGACUGUCUGUGUGCUUCUCACGGACCUAAGAGUUCUGCAUCCUUUAUUUUCAUUUUCUUUUAAUUUUACACAAGUGUGUCACUAGAAAAAGACCAAGCUGGACCGCUCCGUCUAUGCUGUCUAACGGUACCCUGCUUCCAGCAUGCAUGCUUCUCCAACUCUCAUCUUUUUGCUUUUUUUUCUACCAUCUGGCACUUUAUCUGUGUUAUUAUUAUGGCAGAAUAAGAUGUAAGAACUAGGCGUUUUGGAUAUUACCCCCCACCAGUCAUAAGCAACAUGAGGCAGGGGUGGAGGGCGCUGUCUCAUUUAUAGAUGUUAUCUUAGAUGCUCGAUGAACGCCUGAAGACUUGAAUCUUCCAGAAACUCCUCUGAGGCAGUCAAGUUAUAGUUCCCGUUUCCCAGAUAAGAAAAGGGGGUGGUUUCCAUAGCGACUGCACCAACUGACAUUCCCACCAAGAGUGCAGGAGGGUUCCCUUUUCUCCACACCCCUUCCAGCAUUUGUUAUCUGUAGACUCUUGAAUGAUGGCCAUUCUGACUGCUGUGAGGUGGUACCUCAUGGUAGUUUUGAUGUGCACUUCUCUAACGAUGAGUGAUGCUGAGUGGUUUUUUGUUUUUUCAUGUGCCUACUGGCCAUCCGUACAUCUUCUUUGGAGAAAUGAGUAUUUAGGUUUUCUGCCCGUUUUUUGAUGCCAUUUGCAGCAACAUGGGUGCAACGAGA